AUGCAUGGAAGAGGCUGUACUAUAAUUUUCCAUCUAUCACCCUUUUCACAGUGUGUUCCUGAAAGCCAACGGCGAUCAGCCUGUGACAUGGAAGAGGGCGUCCAUCAUGGUCAGGUCCCCAGUGGCCGGCCAGCUUUGAUUGCCACGACCAGGUUGCCGGCCGCGCGCAUGCAAGUCGCCUUCAUCACGUUUUCAUCUGCACCGUGCAUCGAUCAACUUGUACAGUAUAAAAUAACGAUGAUGCAAGGAAAUAUCCAAGCAGGAGAUGGACAGGAAUUAAUAUACAUCAGCUUGUACGUCUCCAUCCUGCAGCGCGCAAUGUGA
This 324-nucleotide ribosomal RNA is filed under the name Triticum aestivum (bread wheat). Its description in RNAcentral is "partial small subunit ribosomal RNA". The record is from RNAcentral. Lineage: Eukaryota; Viridiplantae; Streptophyta; Magnoliopsida; Poales; Poaceae.